Molecule: ribosomal RNA, 495 nt
Filed under: uncultured Gammaproteobacteria bacterium
Lineage: Bacteria; Pseudomonadati; Pseudomonadota; Gammaproteobacteria
Description: bacterial SSU rRNA
Rfam family: Bacterial small subunit ribosomal RNA
Source: RNAcentral
AGAGUUUGAUCCUGGCUCAGGAUGAACGCUGGCGGCGUGCUUAACACAUGCAAGUCGAGCGAUGAAGCUUCCUUCGGGAAGCGGAUUAGCGGCGGACGGGUGAGUAACACGUGAGUAACCUGCCUCAAAGAGGGGGAUAGCCUUCCGAAAGGAAGAUUAAUACCGCAUAACAUACAGAAUUCGCAUGUUUUCUGUAUCAAAGGAGCAAUCCACUUUGAGAUGGACUCGCGGCGCAUUAGCUAGUUGGUGGGGUAACGGCCUACCAAGGCGACGAUGCGUAGCCGACCUGAGAGGGUGAUCGGCCACAUUGGGACUGAGACACGGCCCAGACUCCUACGGGAGGCAGCAGUGGGGAAUAUUGCACAAUGGGCGCAAGCCUGAUGCAGCCAUGCCGCGUGUAUGAAGAAGGCCUUCGGGUUGUAAAGUACUUUCAGCGGGGAGGAAGGCAUUGUGGUUAAUAACCACAGUGAUUGACGUACCCGCAGAAGAGNCCGC